RNAcentral lists this ribosomal RNA (243 nucleotides) under uncultured Actinomycetales bacterium. Its description in RNAcentral is "partial 16S ribosomal RNA". It matches the Rfam family "Bacterial small subunit ribosomal RNA", at positions 88 to 334 of the family's 1533-position model. The record is from RNAcentral. Lineage: Bacteria; Bacillati; Actinomycetota; Actinomycetes; Actinomycetales.
UACUCGAGUGGCGAACGGGUGAGUAACACGUGGGUGAUCUGCCCUGCACUUCGGGAUAAGCUUGGGAAACUGGGUCUAAUACCGGAUAGGAGCCAUCUUUAGUGUGGUGGUUGGAAAGUUUUUUCGGUGUAGGAUGAACUCGCGGCCUAUCAGCUUGUUGGUGGGGUAAUGGCCUACCAAGGCGGCGACGGGUAGCCGGCCUGAGAGGGUGUGCGGUCACAUUGGGACUGAGAUACGGCCCAG